This 112-nucleotide ribosomal RNA is filed under the name Castor canadensis (American beaver). The record is from RNAcentral. Lineage: Eukaryota; Metazoa; Chordata; Mammalia; Rodentia; Castoridae.
UUUUUUAAACUUAACUCCUGAAUGUGCCCAAUCUCAUCUGAUCGUAGAAGCUCAACAGCCUCUGGCCUGCUUAGUACUUGGAUGGGAGGGGGAGAAUUUCAGGAGAAAAAGC